UGCCAGCCGCCGCGGUAAUACGGAGGGUGCGAGCGUUAAUCGGAAUUACUGGGCGUAAAGCGCGCGUAGGCGGCUUGAUCAGUCGGAUGUGAAAGCCCCGGGCUUAACCUGGGAACUGCAUUCGAUACUGUCUGGCUAGAGUAUGGUAGAGGGAAGUGGAAUUCCGAGUGUAGGGGUGAAAUCCGUAGAUAUUCGGAGGAACACCAGUGGCGAAGGCGGCUUUCUGGACCGAUACUGACGCUGAGACGCGAAAGCGUGGGGAGCAAACAGGAUUAGAUA
RNAcentral lists this ribosomal RNA (279 nucleotides) under uncultured bacterium. RNAcentral describes it as "partial 16S ribosomal RNA". It matches the Rfam family "Bacterial small subunit ribosomal RNA", at positions 506 to 784 of the family's 1533-position model. The record is from RNAcentral.